Molecule: ribosomal RNA, 76 nt
Filed under: Mytilus edulis (blue mussel)
Lineage: Eukaryota; Metazoa; Mollusca; Bivalvia; Mytilida; Mytilidae
Source: RNAcentral
UACGACCAAAUCACGUUGAAAACACCGGUUCUCGUCCGAUCACUGAAGUUAAGCAACGUUGGCCCGGUUAGUACUU